GUUGUAGAGACAGGAGGUUUUAGAGACAGGUGGUUGUAGAGACAAGAGUUGUAGAGACAGGUGGUUGUAGAGACAGGUGGUUGUAGAGACAAGAGUUGUAGAGACAGGUGGUUGUAGAGACAGGAGGUUAUGGGUAUAUGUACUUUUUUUUUUAAAUUUUUUUUUUUAACCUUUAUUUAACUAGGCACGUCAGUUAAGAACAAAUUCUUAUUUUCAAUGACGGCCUAGGAACAGUGGGUUAACUGCCUGUUCAGGGGCAGAACGACAGAUCUGUACCUUGUCAACUCGGGGGUUUGAACUUGCAACCUUCUGGUUACUAGUCCAACGCUCUAACCACUAGGCUACGCUGCCGCCCCGUGUCCUGGCCCCGUGUCCUACAUGUGCGUGUCCUGGCACAACCAACUGUCUGAGCUGGUACUCUAGUCUACACAACCAACUGUCUGAGCUGGUACUCUAGUCUACACAACCAACUGUCUGAGCUGGUACUCUAGUCUACACAACCAACUGUCUGAGCUGGUAAUCUAGUCUACACAACCAACUGUCUG
This is a long non-coding RNA of Oncorhynchus tshawytscha (Chinook salmon), 545 nucleotides long. NCBI's taxonomy places the organism in Eukaryota, Metazoa, Chordata, Actinopteri, Salmoniformes, Salmonidae. The record is from Ensembl.